This 551-nucleotide ribosomal RNA is filed under the name uncultured Glomeromycotina. RNAcentral describes it as "SSU rRNA". It matches the Rfam family "Eukaryotic small subunit ribosomal RNA", at positions 548 to 1098 of the family's 1831-position model. The record is from RNAcentral. RNAcentral also lists the same sequence under 1 other name. Lineage: Eukaryota; Fungi; Glomeromycota.
UUGGAGGGCAAGUCUGGUGCCAGCAGCCGCGGUAAUUCCAGCUCCAAUAGCGUAUAUUAAAGUUGUUGCAGUUAAAAAGCUCGUAGUUGAAUUUCGGAAUUUUUUUAUCGGUUGAAUCAACAGGUUCGUACUGAUUUUAAGAAUUUCUACCUUCUGGAGAACCUUAAUGUCAUUUAUUUGGUGUUUUGGGAAACCAGGACUGUUACCUUGAAAAAAUUAGAGUGUUUAAAGCAGGCUUAUGUCUGAAUAUAUUAGCAUGGAAUAAUGAAAUAGGACGGCAUGGUUCUAUUUUGUUGGUUUCUAGGAUCACCGUAAUGAUUAAUAGGGAUAGUUGGGGGCAUUAGUAUUCAAUUGUCAGAGGUGAAAUUCUUGGAUUUAUUGAAGACUAACUUCUGCGAAAGCAUUUGCCAAGGAUGUUUUCAUUAAUCAAGAACGAAAGUUAGGGGAUCGAAGACGAUCAGAUACCGUCGUAGUCUUAACCAUAAACUAUGCCGACUAGGAAUCGGACGAAGUUAAUUUUUUAAUGACUCGUUCGGCGCCUUACGGGAAAC